UACAGAGGUCUCAAGCGUUGUUCGGAAUGACUGGGCGUAAAGGGUGCGUAGGCGGUUGUACAAGUUAGAAGUGAAAUACCCAGGGCUUAACUCGGGUGCUGCUUCUAAAACUGUAUGACUUGAGUGCAGUAGAGGUUAGUGGAAUUCCUAGUGUAGCGGUGGAAUGCGUAGAUAUUAGGAGGAACACCAGAGGCGAAGGCGGCUAACUGGACUGCAACUGACGCUGAGGCACGAAAGUGUGGGGAGCAAACAGG
Molecule: ribosomal RNA, 254 nt
Filed under: uncultured Eubacteriales bacterium
Lineage: Bacteria; Bacillati; Bacillota; Clostridia; Eubacteriales
Description: uncultured Clostridiales bacterium partial 16S ribosomal RNA
Rfam family: Bacterial small subunit ribosomal RNA
Source: RNAcentral